Non-coding RNA from Vicia faba (fava bean), 231 nucleotides. Lineage: Eukaryota; Viridiplantae; Streptophyta; Magnoliopsida; Fabales; Fabaceae. The record is from the annotation of a GenBank genome assembly.
AUGCGAGAUCACUGUUCUUCAAGACGUGCUCAUUCCUUCUCUUAUAGUGAAGAUUCAGUUUCCAAAUCUAAGACGGCGAAGAAGAAGGAAGUAGAUCCAAAAGAGAACGUGCGUGAGGAGCUCCUCGGGAGCUGGUGUGCUAGUGGUAGCAACGCCGAUCUAAAUAAGUCCAAGACCUACAUCAAGACCGUUGAAGAAACCACCGGAGCCAUUGGAACUGCCAAACUCUAA